This is a long non-coding RNA of Arachis stenosperma, 3788 nucleotides long. RefSeq lists it as uncharacterized. The record is from RefSeq and is a predicted model, not a curated record. NCBI's taxonomy places the organism in Eukaryota, Viridiplantae, Streptophyta, Magnoliopsida, Fabales, Fabaceae. The transcript is spliced from 3 exons.
UCUCUUCUUUUUCCCCUUUUCUUCUCUGAAGCCCUAAUUGCUGAAGAUCAAACCCCCAGCCCACAACGCUAUCUCCUCUCUCAACUCUCUUUCUCAGUUUCUCGUCACUCUCUCCCACGAGCUCAAGCUCUCGUCAGCUUGUCUCAUCUCCAGUCUCUCACUUCUUGUCUCCAGUCUGUCAAGCUCUCGUCAGCUGAAGCUCUCCCUUCCCUGCCCUCUUUUCGCCGGCGGCAGAAGCAGACGGAACCGCAUCUGGUCCCUCGGGUCGUGGUGGUGGUCGUCUUCUUGCUUCUCACAGUCUCUGUCUCGCACCUGGUCUCGAUCUCUCCCUUCCCUGCGCUCUUCGUCGCCGGUAGCAGAGGCAACAGAUCCCGGUGGGCUUGUCUUCGUUGUCGUCUUCUUGCUUCGAGCCUUGCUGUCAGCUUCUCCUCGCCAUCAACUUCUCCUUCGCCGUCGGCUUCCUUCGCGUAACUCGAUUUGGGUGUGUAUUUUUUUACUUAUUUGGAUGUUUGAGAAUUGAGAUUCUGAUUUAGUUGUUUAGAUAUUGAAUUAGCUAUAGUUUAUUUGACUUAUUUAAUUAUGUUGGUUGAUUUUGACCGUUGUUUACUCUUCCUUUGACUUGUAUUAUAGUAGUUAUUUUUCUUGUGGUUUUGUUUGUAGAUUGUGAUAGAUACAUUAAAGUGUGUUGUAUUAAAUAAAAAUUUAUAUACUAAAAUAGAAUUGGAGCAUGAACCUAAUAGUUACAGUGCAUAUAACUUAAUUGUCGAGUUAGAAUUUGGUUAUAUUUUACAAAAAAAAUAAAUUCGAAAUGAUUCUUCUAUAUAUCCACAUGAAUCAUAUCGAUUUUCUUUCCUAGACAAUAUUUAGUUAAGCGGAAAGUUUUCUUUACACUGGAGAAUCGAAUUGCUUUAUUUAUAAAGAUUUCAGAAACUUAAUAUUAGAAUUAUUUUUUAGAUGAAAAUCAAUUGGGAUCUUAUAUAUUAAGAUGUAUGGUCGCUGUCCAGGAUAUACUAUUUAAAGGUGUAUAUUAAAAAAUUUAGGUGGGAAAAUUUUGUUUUAUGUAAUGAUUAUUUAUUGGGUGUUUUUGGAAAGUUAAUAAAUGCUACAAGAGGAAUGAGAGAGAAAAUGAUGUGUGAUUUUGUGUUGGGCUGUUGAAACCAUUGAAAAUUUUAUUAAUCCACAUCUUUAAAUGUUGGCAUCUUUCCCUGCUUUCAUUGGAAUCGUUCUUGAAAAUUUGUUUGGUAUGGUUAACAUUUAUUUAUUUUUAUGUUAUACUUGUUUUUACAGAAAUAUACCGUGGUACCAUUCAUGUUUUUUAUCAUACCGAUAAUUUUCAAUUUUUUAUACCUAUUUUUAUUUACUUUGAGAGUUUAGUAUCAUUCGUUAGAGAGGAUAAAAAAAGGCGAUUGAAACUAAUUUUUUCUCCUGAUUAAUUUAGACAAUUAAAGUUAAAAGAACCAUGCUUAAUGCAAUCUUAACAUAUAAUCGUGAUGAUAACACAUUUAAAAUAUGACAAUAAAAAUCUUAUUAAAUUUUUGGUAUUUGCACGGAAUUGUUGGCGUUAUAUACUUGAAAUAUUGUUAUUUUUCUCUUAAAUUUGUUAUGUUUUAUAUAAAAUCUAACAAUUAUUUUGUUAUUUUUGAUAGCAUAGGAGUAAAAAUGUGACUAAUAUAUUGGAUAGUUUUUGUCCAAAUUUUAUGUAUAUUGUACAUGAAGUUUUAUUUUGAAAAUUGUAUUUUUGUCUAUUUCAAGCAUAUUUUAUUAGAAAUUAAAAAAUUUGUGAUAUUACAAUAUUAAUUGUACGAUUUUUAAUAAUUUUAGUUUAUUGAUUUUGUUUUAGACAAUAUUGGUGGCGGAGAUUUUACAUGAGAAAUGUUAUAAGACAAGAAAGAUGCUGUUAUUAGUGAUGUUUUGAAUAUCAAGGUUUAUUCAAAACAUCCCUGAUAUCUACAUGUUUUUGUCUUGUAUCCUUUUUCAUGUGAAUCUUUGUUGCCGAUCUUGUCUAAAAUAAAAUUAAUAAUUCAAAAUUAUUAAAAAUAGUACCAUUAAUACUGUCAUAUCACAAAAUUUUCAAUUCUUAAUAAAAUAUAUCUGGGAUGGAUAAAAAUACAGUUUUUAAAUAAGGCUUCAUGCACAGUAUACAUGAAAUUUGGACAAAGGUUUUACAUAAAAUAUGACAAAUAUAGGAGAAAAAUAAUUGUUACCAGUUCAUAUAUAUUACAUAAGAUUUUUGUUAUUAUAUUUUAUAUGUAUCCAUGUUAUCAUCAUUAUCUCAUCAAGUAUGUCCAAAUUAAUUUGGAGGGAAGAUUAACUUUAAUCAUUUUUUUUAUUCUCUAAAAAAUGGUGCAGAACUUUCUAAAACAGCAAAAGUAGGUGCAAAAGAUUGAAAAUUUUUCAUAUAUAGAUGAUACCAUGUAUUCUUGUAAUAAACAACAGUUAUAAAAUAAAAAUAAAUAAAGAUUGAACAUACCAAAAGCUUUGCUUUCUAGUGAAAGAUGUCAAAGGAAAUGGAUUCAUUAGUUUUCAAUGGCUUUAGCAGUCAACACAAAAUCACAUAUAAUAUACACAAAAUCACAUAUAAUAUUUUUUCCUCAUUUCUCUGUAGUAUCUCCAACAUUCGGUGAUUUCUCAAAAUCACCCAAUAAAUGAUUGCAACUAUUACAUAAAACAAAAUUUUUCUACCUUAAUUUUUCUACAUACAUUUUUAAAUCAUAUAUGUCCUUGGCAAUAAUCAUAUAGUCUAAUAUAUACUAUUCUAAUUGCUUUUCAUAUAAACAAAUAAAUUCUAAUCUUGAGUAUUUAAAAUUUUUAUAAAUAAAACAACUCAAUUUUCUAGUGUAAAGAAAAUCUUUCCUUUUAACUAAAUAAUUAAUUUUUGAAAAAAAAAAUCAAUAUGAUUCAACCUCAUGUGGAUAUAUAAGAGAAUCAUUUUGAAUUUCUUUUGGUUUUAACAUACGGGCAUGACCAAAUUCUAACUUGACAAUUAAGUUAUAUACACUGUAACUAUCAUUUUCAUCUUGUAAUUUUACUUCAAUGUAUAAUUUUUUCUUGAUACAACAUGCUUUAAUGUAUCUAUCACAAUCUACAAAUAAAAUCACAAAAAAAUUAACUAUCAUAAUAUAAGUCGAAAUAAAAGUAAAAAUCUGUCAAACAAACUAUAACUAAUUCAAUGUCCAAACAAUUAAAUUAAAAUUUCAAAUAUCCAAAUGAGUGUCAAAAAUACAAAUCCAAAUGCUGCAGCAGUCUCAAGUUUCAUCGAUGUAGACUUAUUAUCGAAACCAGCAAGAGUUUCCACAUGCACCGCAGCAUCAGUCAGCCGAAUUUACUCAACAUCGCGAUGCUCAAGCACAGCAGCAGUCAGAUGCUGGAAUGUCAUUACACGAGUAUUUCAAAUCGCCGGAAGCAAUUCAGUCUUUGUUGAGUGACCGCGACAAACUUUGCCAACUUUUGGAGUAGUAUCCGAAGUUAAUGCAGAUGCUACAGUUAAAGAAGCAUGAUUUCUUGCACUAUUCUUAUCUGUAAAUGUUUUUCAUUGUUGAUUACUAAUGAGCUUGUGCUGAUGUUUGUGCCUCGGCCAUUGAACGUGCUUUUAAUUUCUGAGUCAAUGCCCCAAUGGUGCUUAUGUUGAUUUCUAGCGCAAUCAUGGUGAUGUUGUAUUUCUAUUGUACAGUUGCAUUAUUAGUUCUUGAUAACAUUGCCUUACAAUGUGUAAAGUUAUUUGCUUCUCCUUUUAUUAAAUUAUAUUCCGAGUCAAGUGCUAAUUUUAUUGGGAAAAUUCGUUAGUUAGA